UGGGAGGAAAAGAAACCAACUGGGAUUACCUUAGUAACGGCGAGUGAAGCGGUAAAAGCUCAAAUCUGAAAUCUGGUACUUUCAGUGCCCGAGUUGUAAUUUGUAGAAUUUGUCUUUGAUUAGGUCCUUGUCUAUGUUCCUUGGAACAGGACGUCAUAGAGGGUGAGAAUCCCGUUUGGCGAGGAUACCUUUUCUCUGUAAGACUUUUUCGAAGAGUCGAGUUGUUUGGGAAUGCAGCUCAAAGUGGGUGGUAAAUUCCAUCUAAAGCUAAAUAUUGGCGAGAGACCGAUAGCGAACAAGUACAGUGAUGGAAAGAUGAAAAGAACUUUGAAAAGAGAGUGAAAAAGUACGUGAAAUUGUUGAAAGGGAAGGGCAUUUGAUCAGACAUGGUGUUUUUUGCAUGCACUCGCCUCUCGUGGGCUUGGGCCUCUCAAAAAUUUCACUGGGCCAACAUCAAUUCUGGCAGCAGGAUAAAUCAUUAAGAAUGUAGCUACUUCGGUAGUGUUAUAGCUUUUUGGAAUACUGUUAGCCGGGAUUGAGGACUGCGCUUCGGCAAGGAUGUUGGCAUAAUGGUUAAAUGCCGCCCGUCU
This 590-nucleotide ribosomal RNA is filed under the name Hanseniaspora uvarum. Its description in RNAcentral is "eukaryotic LSU rRNA". It matches the Rfam family "Eukaryotic large subunit ribosomal RNA", at positions 50 to 654 of the family's 3401-position model. The record is from RNAcentral. Lineage: Eukaryota; Fungi; Ascomycota; Saccharomycetes; Saccharomycodales; Saccharomycodaceae.